RNAcentral lists this transfer RNA (75 nucleotides) under Candidatus Roizmanbacteria bacterium CG09_land_8_20_14_0_10_41_9. RNAcentral's name for it is "tRNA-Ile". It matches the Rfam family "tRNA". Rfam says of the family: Transfer RNA (tRNA) molecules are approximately 80 nucleotides in length. Their secondary structure includes four short double-helical elements and three loops (D, anti-codon, and T loops). Further hydrogen bonds mediate the characteristic L-shaped molecular structure. tRNAs have two regions of fundamental functional importance: the anti-codon, which is responsible for specific mRNA codon recognition, and the 3' end, to which the tRNAs corresponding amino acid is attached (by aminoacyl-tRNA synthetases). tRNAs cope with the degeneracy of the genetic code in two manners: having more than one tRNA (with a specific anti-codon) for a particular amino acid; and 'wobble' base-pairing, i.e. permitting non-standard base-pairing at the 3rd anti-codon position. Lineage: Bacteria; Candidatus Roizmaniibacteriota. The record is from RNAcentral.
GCGCUCUUAGUUUAACGGUAAAACAGUUCUCUGAUAAAGAACAGAGCGAUGGUUCGACUCCAUCAGAGCGCACAA